UUAUUUCUUUAUUUGCUUAAUUCUGUAAAUAAUUGAGAAAGUUUUUGGUAUUUUUACGUUUUUGUUGGAACAAUUUUUCUUUCAUUUUUGUUGCUACGAGGAUAGUAAUCAAAUAAGGGGGUUGGGGAAGAUGAAGUAUCCCCCGCACCCCUUGAUUGCUCAAUACAGACCUGUGGGUCCCUCUUCUUUGGGCCUAGAGCAUUUUCCUAGCUACACCCAUAAUUUCC
This 227-nucleotide long non-coding RNA is filed under the name Lathyrus oleraceus (garden pea). Its description in RNAcentral is "Pisum sativum (pea) long non-coding RNA (PSAT_LNC040569)". The record is from RNAcentral. Lineage: Eukaryota; Viridiplantae; Streptophyta; Magnoliopsida; Fabales; Fabaceae.